This 423-nucleotide ribosomal RNA is filed under the name uncultured Bacteroidales bacterium. Its description in RNAcentral is "bacterial SSU rRNA". It matches the Rfam family "Bacterial small subunit ribosomal RNA", at positions 355 to 776 of the family's 1533-position model. Lineage: Bacteria; Pseudomonadati; Bacteroidota; Bacteroidia; Bacteroidales. The record is from RNAcentral.
UGAGGAAUAUUGGUCAAUGGGCGGAAGCCUGAACCAGCCAAGUCGCGUGAAGGACGAAGGUAUUAUGUAUUGUAAACUUCUUUAGCAGUGGAGAAAUAAGGGAGUCGUGACUCCCGAUGCUAGUACACUGAGAAUAAGGAUCGGCUAACUCCGUGCCAGCAGCCGCGGUAAUACGGAGGAUCCGAGCGUUAUCCGGAUUUAUUGGGUUUAAAGGGUGCGCAGGCGGCCUUGCAAGUCAGCGGUCAAAUCGUGGAGCUCAACUCCAUUCCGCCGUUGAUACUGCCGGGCUUGAUUGCGGUUGAGGUUGGCGGAAUUCGUCGUGUAGCGGUGAAAUGCAUAGAUAUGACGAAGAACCCCGAUUGCGUAGGCAGCUGACCAAGCCGUAAAUGACGCUCAUGCACGAAAGUGCGGGGAUCGAACAGG